This 214-nucleotide unclassified non-coding RNA is filed under the name Hevea brasiliensis (rubber tree). The record is from RNAcentral. Lineage: Eukaryota; Viridiplantae; Streptophyta; Magnoliopsida; Malpighiales; Euphorbiaceae.
AGUUUUUCUUUAUUUUUGAUUAUUUCCUUUUGUUCUACAUCAAGUAAUUAAACAUGCAGUAAUACCAUUCAACAAGCAAUAGGAGAAACGCCUUACUUUGAUAGAAUUAGAGAAAAGAGGAAAACAGGAUCACAUCACAAGAUCUGGUAACCUGAAGGCGUUAUAACUAAACCAAACUUGAAUGCGAAGAUACCUUGUUGAGAUCUUUUCUCCA